UAUCUUGCUGCCCACCAGGUGAGGGCAGUAUAUCUUGCUGCCCACCAGGUGAGGGCAGUAUAUCUUGCUGCCCACCAGGUGAGGGCAGUAUAUCUUGCUGCCCACCAGGUGAGGGCAGUAUAUCUUGCUGCCCACCAGGUGAGGGCAGUAUAUCUUGCUGCCCACCAGGUGAGGGCAGUAUAUCUUGCUGCCCACCAGGUGAGGGCAGUAUAUCUUGCUGCCCACCAGGUGAGGGCAGUAUAUCUUGCUGCCCACCAGGUGAGGGCAGUAUAUCUUGCUGCCCACCAGGUGAGGGCAGUAUAUCUUGCUGCCCACCAGGUGAGGGCAGUAUAUCUUGCUGCCCACCAGGUGAGGGCAGUAUAUCUUGCUGCCCACCAGGUGAGGGCAGUAUAUCUGGCUGCUUACCAGUUUAUUGUUAUGGAUGGUUUUCAAUGUAGAAUAUACUACCUGUU
This is a long non-coding RNA of Oncorhynchus keta (chum salmon), 452 nucleotides long. RefSeq lists it as uncharacterized. The record is from RefSeq and is a predicted model, not a curated record. The transcript is spliced from 3 exons. Lineage: Eukaryota; Metazoa; Chordata; Actinopteri; Salmoniformes; Salmonidae.